UGGAAAAUCGAUAGAGGUCUUUUUACGAGGCUUUCGCAGGAAUGGCCAUUUGGUAUUUCCUGUCCAGGACGCGAGAGUCGCUUGCUUCUCCAUCCUGUCUGACUGCUUUGGUUUGUGAGACGGGUUAUCGCUCUCAUCCCAUCACACUCCUUCUUCACUUCUUAUCCGAGGGGGUUUGUGCAUGAAGAGGAGUCCAAAAGUCGGCCAACGAGUCCACGUCGGAGCGCAAGUGUCGACAAACUGCGAGGAAAUUCCGCAAAGACUGAGCUGUGUGGCGUUCAGGAGAAACUUUUCUCAGGGAAAGUGCGCCAUGUUGUCAAAUCUUUUCCUUUUUUUUUCUUGUCUUUUUUCCCCUGUUGCCAUAGCGGAUUUGUGAGCGCUGUGCGGAGGGAGGCAUGAAGGUCUGUGGGAGUCUGAGUCAGGAAAAGAAAAGUACAAUUAAUGGAUGAAGUGUCGCUUAUGCUUUUUUUUUUUUUUUUUUUUUUUUUGGCUUUUAACAGUGUUACAAACUAUUUAUAAAGUGGUAUUCAAAGUAAAUAUGAGCUAACGUUCAAGGUCAGAGCCGGUCAUAGACUUUGUAAGGGCAGGGGUGAAGAUGAAAGAGGGGCACCUAACCUAUUGGUGGCCCAGUGUGCUCAAUUGCCCUCUAAUGUGCCCUUACAGUGGAGAAACGUUAGCAACAUAUUAGAAGAUAUUUUUUUUGGCCUCUAUGUUUCCCUUAAUGGUUUAUUAAUUUAGCUCUAUUAUUAUUACUGAGAUAUAGCAUCAUUUGAGUCACAUAAUAAAACAAUUUUCUAUUUUAAAGGUCCAGUGUGUAGGAUUUAGUUACAUCUAGCGGUGUAGAUGCACAUUGGAACUCCUUCGUUUCACCCUCCCCUUCCAACCAUGAAGGGGAACCUACCGUGGCUGCUAAACGCCCCUAUCUGGACCCGUUGUUUGGUUAAGUCUGUACUAAGCUACUGUAGAAACAUGGCAGUGUAACAUGGCGGGCUCCAUGGAAGGUGACCCACGGUGUCUGUAGAUAUACAAGGCUCACUGUAAGGUAGCAAAAGCACAACGAUUCCUAUAUUUAGGUGAUUAUACACGUAUGAAUUCAUACCUGUGAAUAUUAUUAUAUUCCAUUUUUGCCAAUAGAUCCUAUUAAAUGUUACUGUCUGGACCUUUAAAGGUUAUAUUAAAAAAAUUGCACUAGAGCAGGGCUUCCCAGACCUUUUCAUUUCAAGGACCCCCCACUGAGGCUCAUUAGACCCCCAGUCUGAGAUAAUUUUGUUAAGGAAUCCUCUCUGAGUCAUUUUUGAAGAUAAUGAAGUCUUCAUAGUCAGUUAACGAUAAAACUGGGUACAGUCAAACAAAACGACCAACGUAUUUCUUCCCUCGAAGUUCCAACUUCCAAAAAAUGUGAUUAUAGUUAAAAUAUUCCUCCUUUUUUUGGUGACCCCCUACAACCCAUGGUUUUCUUGGUCAGUUUGAAAACCACUGCACAAGAGUAUUGUCUCAGAGCAAAACCAUGGGACAGAAACAAAGUCAAACUCACCAAAAAUGUCCUUCCAACAGUCACCAACACUGGUUUGAUCAAAAUAAACCCUUCAUUCACAGAGUUAGAUGUGAAAAGGGCUGCAAUGGCAGCAGCUAAUCCUUGGGGACCAAUGUGUCCAUCAAAGUACGUCCACUAAAAGCUUGUUUUUGCCACUAACUCAUUAAGGACAGGGUCCUACAGGGAUAGAGCUUUUGUUUAACCAUAAACAGCCAGACAUUUUUACCGUGUAUAUCAGUGUAACUUCAUUCAAAGUAGACAGAAGAAAAAUAAAACUCACAGAAAAUG
Long non-coding RNA from Dicentrarchus labrax (European seabass), 1822 nucleotides. RefSeq lists it as uncharacterized. The transcript has 2 exons. The record is from RefSeq and is a predicted model, not a curated record. NCBI's taxonomy places the organism in Eukaryota, Metazoa, Chordata, Actinopteri, Moronidae.